This 253-nucleotide ribosomal RNA is filed under the name uncultured bacterium. RNAcentral describes it as "partial 16S ribosomal RNA". It matches the Rfam family "Bacterial small subunit ribosomal RNA", at positions 524 to 776 of the family's 1533-position model. The record is from RNAcentral.
UACGGAGGGUGCAAGCGUUAUCCGGAAUCACUGGGUUUAAAGGGUGCGUAGGCGGGGAAUUAAGUCAGUGGUGAAAGCCUGUCGCUUAACGAUAGAAUUGCCAUUGAUACUGAUUUUCUUGAAUUGGGUUGAGGUUAGCGGAAUGUGACAUGUAGCGGUGAAAUGCAUAGAUAUGUCAUGGAACACCAAUUGCGAAGGCAGCUAGCUGGGCCUUGAUUGACGCUGAGGCACGAAAGCGUGGGUAGCGAACAGG